Molecule: ribosomal RNA, 467 nt
Filed under: uncultured bacterium
Lineage: Bacteria
Description: partial 16S ribosomal RNA
Rfam family: Bacterial small subunit ribosomal RNA
Source: RNAcentral
ACGAACGCUGGCGGCGUGCUUAACACAUGCAAGUCGAACGGAAAGGCCCUGCUUUUGUGGGGUGCUCGAGUGGCGAACGGGUGAGUAACACGUGAGUAACCUGCCCUUGACUUUGGGAUGACUUCAGGAAACUGGGGCUAAUACCGGAUAGGAGCUCCUGCUGCAUGGUGGGGGUUGGAAAGUUUCGGCGGUUGGGGAUGGACUCGCGGCUUAUCAGCUUGUUGGUGGGGUAGUGGCUUACCAAGGCUUUGACGGGUAGCCGGCCUGAGAGGGUGGCCGGCCACAUUGGGACUGAGAUACGGCCCAGACUCCUACGGGAGGCAGCAGUGGGGAAUAUUGCACAAUGGGCGGAAGCCUGAUGCAGCAACGCCGCGUGCGGGAUGACGGCCUUCGGGUUGUAAACCGCUUUCGCCUGUGACGAAGCGUGAGUGACGGUAAUGGGUAAAGAAGCACCGGCUAACUACGUG